GGAAUCUUCCACAAUGGACGCAAGUCUGAUGGAGCAACGCCGCGUGAGUGAAGAAGGGUUUCGGCUCGUAAAGCUCUGUUGUUAAAGAAGAACGUGGGUAAGAGUAACUGUUUACCCAGUGACGGUAUUUAACCAGAAAGCCACGGCUAACUACGUGCCUG
This 161-nucleotide ribosomal RNA is filed under the name uncultured bacterium. RNAcentral describes it as "partial 16S rRNA". It matches the Rfam family "Bacterial small subunit ribosomal RNA", at positions 358 to 511 of the family's 1533-position model. The record is from RNAcentral.